RNAcentral lists this ribosomal RNA (253 nucleotides) under uncultured prokaryote. RNAcentral's name for it is "partial 16S ribosomal RNA". It matches the Rfam family "Bacterial small subunit ribosomal RNA", at positions 524 to 776 of the family's 1533-position model. The record is from RNAcentral.
UACAGAGGGUGCGAGCGUUGUUCGGAAUUAUUGGGCGUAAAGGGCGCGUAGGCGGUGUUGUAAGUCACCUGUGAAACCUCUGGGCUUAACUCAGAGCCUGCAGGCGAAACUGCAAUGCUGGAGGGUGGGAGAGGUGCGUGGAAUUCCCGGUGUAGCGGUGAAAUGCGUAGAUAUCGGGAAGAACACCGGUGGCGAAAGCGCUCUACUAGGCCGCAACUGACACUGAGGGACGAAAGCUAGGGGAGCGAAUGGG